This 58-nucleotide transfer RNA is filed under the name Strigamia maritima. It matches the Rfam family "tRNA", at positions 7 to 64 of the family's 71-position model. From Rfam's summary of the family: Transfer RNA (tRNA) molecules are approximately 80 nucleotides in length. Their secondary structure includes four short double-helical elements and three loops (D, anti-codon, and T loops). The record is from Rfam by way of RNAcentral. Lineage: Eukaryota; Metazoa; Arthropoda; Chilopoda; Geophilomorpha; Linotaeniidae.
GUAGCUUAAUGCUAAAGCACCCAACCGACAAUUGGGAGAUCUGGGUUCAAGUCCUGGC